RNAcentral lists this ribosomal RNA (1347 nucleotides) under Triticum aestivum (bread wheat). Its description in RNAcentral is "partial small subunit ribosomal RNA". The record is from RNAcentral. Lineage: Eukaryota; Viridiplantae; Streptophyta; Magnoliopsida; Poales; Poaceae.
AUGGCGCUGCAAAACAUUGGUGCUUCAAACAAGGAUGAUGCCUUCUACAGGUACAAGAUGCCCAGAAUGUUGACAAAAAUAGAAGGCCGUGGUAAUGGCAUCAAGACAAAUAUUGUGAACAUGGUUGAUAUAGCAAAAGCACUUGCCAGGCCCGCUUCCUACACCACCAAGUACUUUGGAUGUGAGCUUGGAGCACAAUCAAAAUUUGAUGAGAAGACAGGAAUCGCCUUGGUCAAUGGUGCUCAUGAUACUUCAAAGCUGGCUGGCCUUCUUGAGAACUUCAUCAAGAAGUAUGUGCAGUGUUAUGGCUGUGGCAAUCCUGAGACUGAGGUCCUCAUCUCCAAGAAAGAGAUGAUAACUCUGAAAUGUGCUGCCUGUGGCUUCCUCUCUGAUGUUGACAUGAGGGACAAACUCACUACAUUCAUCCUGAAGAACCCGCCAGAACAGAAGAAGGGAGGCAAAGACAAGAAAGCUAUGCGAAGAGCUGAGAAGGAGCGGAUGAAAGAAGGUGAAGCUGCUGAUGAGGAGAUGAAGAAACUCAAAAAGGAUGCAAAGAAGAAAGGUGCUUCUUCCAAGGAUACAAAGAAAAAGGCUGCUGGGGGAGGUUCUGAUGAAGAACAUGCAACCUCACCAACUCACAGUCAAGGUGCCGACCUUGCAGCUGCUGCAGAUGAUGAUGACGAUGACGAUGUGGAGUGGCAGACUGACACGUCAGCGGAAGCCGCGAGAAAACGCAUGGAGGAGCAGCUGAGUGCAGCAACUGCUGAAAUGGUUAUGCUUGCCACCGAGGAGACGGAGAAGAAGAAGAAACAGGCCCUGCACAAAGAGGGCAGUUCCAAUGGGACACCAAAGGCUGAAGAUAAUUCCAAUGGCAACCAGACUGGGCCCAAGACCACUCCUUAUGACGAACUGGUUGAAGAGAUCAAGGCCAACUUGGGCAAUGCUGCCACUGCAGCUCAGCUCAAGGGUGUCCUCGCCUCCUCAGCCCUACCUCCCAAGGACGUGAUGCAUGCUCUCUUUGAGGCACUCUUCCAUGGCAUGGGCAAGGGGUUCGCGAAGGAAGUGGUGAAGAACAAGAAGUACCUUUCCGCCGCGGUGCCUGAUGAAGGGUCCCAGAUGCUCCUGCUCCAGGCUAUCGAGGCGUUCUGUGGCAAGUGCAGUGCUGAAGCCCUGAAGGAAGUCCCCGUCGUCCUGAAGGCCCUCUAUGAUGGAGACGUCCUCGAGGAAGAAACUAUUGUCCAGUGGUACAAUGAAGCUGUUGCUGCCGGCAAGAACUCCCAGGUCGUGAAGAACGCCAAGCCGGUCGUGGAGUGGCUCCAGAGCGCCGAAUCUGACGACGACGAGUGA